RNAcentral lists this transfer RNA (67 nucleotides) under Todarodes pacificus (Japanese flying squid). Its description in RNAcentral is "tRNA-Asp". Lineage: Eukaryota; Metazoa; Mollusca; Cephalopoda; Oegopsida; Ommastrephidae. The record is from RNAcentral.
GAAAAGUUAGUUAAAUUAUAACAUAAAAUUGUCAAUUUUAAAUUACUGUAUUUUAUAGUACUUAUCG